This 521-nucleotide ribosomal RNA is filed under the name Candidatus Faecicola pullistercoris. RNAcentral describes it as "partial 23S ribosomal RNA". It matches the Rfam family "Bacterial large subunit ribosomal RNA", at positions 1 to 520 of the family's 2925-position model. Lineage: Bacteria; Bacillati; Bacillota; Clostridia; Eubacteriales. The record is from RNAcentral.
GAUUAAGCUAAUAAGGGCAUAGGGAGGAUGCCUUGGCACCAAGCGCCGAAGAAGGACGUGACAAGCUGCGAAAAGCCACGGGGAGCUGCAAAUGAGCAUUGAUCCGUGGAUAUCCGAAUGAGGGAACUCAACAGUGGUAAUGCGCUGUUAACCUUACAUGAAUCAAUAGUGUAAGGUGGGGAACCCGGGGAACUGAAACAUCUAAGUACCCGGAGGAAAAGAAAGAAAACGAUCGAUUUCCUGAGUAGUGGUGAGCGAAAGGGAAAGAGCCCAAACCUGAAGAUAGCAAUAUUUUCAGGGGUGACGGACUCACGUAAGCAAGAAAUCAAUAUAGACGAACACAGUUGGAAAGCUGGACGAAACGAAGUAAAAGUCUUGUAGUUGAAAUAUUGACGAAGCGGUGAGUAUCCAGAGUACCACAGGACACGAGGAAUCCGGUGGGAAGACAGGAGGACCAUCUCCUAAGGCUAAAUACGACUUGGUGACCGAUAGAGUAUAGUACCGUGAGGGAAAGGUGAAAA